RNAcentral lists this ribosomal RNA (301 nucleotides) under uncultured bacterium. RNAcentral describes it as "partial 16S ribosomal RNA". It matches the Rfam family "Bacterial small subunit ribosomal RNA", at positions 509 to 807 of the family's 1533-position model. The record is from RNAcentral.
CAGCAGCCACGGUAAGACGAACCGUGCGAACGUUAUUCGGAAUCACUGGGCUUAAAGCGCGUGUAGGCGGGAGGGCACGUCCGUCGCUGAAAUCCCCCGGCUCAACCGGGGAACGGGCGCGGAUACGACUCUUCUGGAGGAACGUAGGGGGACCUGGAACUUCCGGUGGAGCGGUGAAAUGCGUUGAGAUCGGAAGGAACGCCCGUGGCGAAAGCGAGGUCCUGGACGUUUACUGACGCUGAGACGCGAAAGCCAGGGGAGCGAACGGGAUUAGAUACCCCUGUAGUCCCUGUCUCUUAUA